CAGUCGCCGCGGUAAUACGUAGGGUGCGAGCGUUAAUCGGAAUUACUGGGCGUAAAGCGUGCGCAGGCGGUUCGUUACGACAGAUGUGAAAUCCCCGGGCUUAACCUGGGAACUGCAUUUGUGACUGGCGAGCUAGAGUAUGGCAGAGGGGGGUAGAAUUCCACGUGUAGCAGUAAAAUGCGUAGAGAUGUGGAGGAAUACCGAUGGCGAAGGCAGCCCCCUGGGCCAAUACUGACGCUCAUGCACGAAAGCAUGGGGAGCAAACAGGAUUAGAGACCCGGGUAGUCCCUGUCUCUUAUAC
RNAcentral lists this ribosomal RNA (301 nucleotides) under uncultured bacterium. Its description in RNAcentral is "partial 16S ribosomal RNA". It matches the Rfam family "Bacterial small subunit ribosomal RNA", at positions 509 to 807 of the family's 1533-position model. The record is from RNAcentral.